This 5179-nucleotide small RNA is filed under the name Vigna angularis var. angularis. Its description in RNAcentral is "Non-protein coding transcript". The record is from RNAcentral. Lineage: Eukaryota; Viridiplantae; Streptophyta; Magnoliopsida; Fabales; Fabaceae.
GGGCCUUUUACCGAAGGCUUUUAAGCCUUCGGUAUUGAGGUAAUUAUCGAAGGCUUUUUAGCCAUCGGUAACGUCCACGUUAAUUUAAGUCCCAAAUUGGGUCAUUCGAUCCCCAAUUUCAUUUCACUUGAGCUUCGUUGUGUGUGUCUGUGUCAUCCCUCUCUGCAAACACUUCCCUCCCUUGCUUCACACUCCGUGAGGUUGUCGGUUAGUGACCGGUGGUUGUCCGUCACGGUGGUGAGUGGUGCGUUGGUCGGUCUUGGUUGACUCUGCGUGGUUGUUUGGGGAGUGUUGUGGUAGGGUUCGUGGUGGGUUGGUUGGUUCGUUGACGGCUGGUGGUGUGGAGGUUGAGGGACUUUGCCGGAGGGGCCGUUGUGGGCUUCCGUCGUUGUCGUGCUCAUCAAGCGGUUUCUUGGUAGAGGAACUUGCUUGACGGACUUCGUUGGAGUGGCCGUUGUGGGGCGUCGCCGUGGUGGUGUACAAAGGUUGCAUCGUCAAGGGCUAUCUCGGUUAAGGUAAGUUGGGCGUUUAAAAAUUCAUUAUGAGUUUCAAUGUUGUUGAAUUGUUUGAUGUUGUUGUGGCUUGAUUGUAUGAUCUUUGAUUGAGAAAGAUUGGUUUUUAAUUGGAAUGAGGGGCAAGGAAUUUAGUUAGCAGUGAAAAGGUUUAUAUAACCUUAACCGUAGUUUAGGGAAAAUAAAAGCAAACGAGUAUAUUGAAGCUUGAUCAACAGUGGCAAUUGUUGUAACAGUUUCGUUUGUUUCUAAUGCCUGCAAGUGUGUGCUCUAAGUAUGCAAAACUUGAAACCUCCCAUUCAUUUGCUUUCAAUCAACGUGCACAUAAUGUUAUAUAUUGUAAAUGGUUGAUAAUAUAACAGUAGGUAGCGGUCCAAACUAUAAAUCCUAGUAGCAAGUCAACUCAUGCAUCAUCCAAUAGCUUUUGGUGCCUUUGCCUGCACUGCCACGGUAAUAGACUAAUGUUUUUUUGAGUCAAAUGCAGUCAUUGCCUUGUCCACCUUGUGAGUACAAUAUUUUUCCUUCUGUCCUGCACUCCCAUUGCUGUCUGCUAACACACAAAAGCUUGUUCUGAUUAGUAUUAGUCCAAUUCAUUGUAUCAUGGUGUAUGUUGUUGGUUUUGAAAUUCAAAGGAGGUAUUAUUCACUUUAUAUUUUUCUUACAAAAGUAUGUUAAAUAUUAAAUUUGGUUCAAGUUUAUAAUGUGACUGUCAUUCUCAGUUUUUGGCUGUAAAUAUUUACUAAAUCAAAUGCUGCAAUGUGAAAUCAUGAAAAAGCUUCCAGAAUAGGGCAAAAAAGAAAAGGAUGGAGGGGUGUUAAGCAUUGUCAUUAUACUGUAGGAGGGUUCUUUUAGUGGCACAGCCUCUGUUUGAGAAUCAAGUGUUAGCUAAUUAGAAGAUUUGUUGGUGUUUACUUUUACGUUAUUAUAUAUAUUGAUAAUAAUCCUAAUAAUUAUGAGGAAAUGUGUAUGGUAAUGUGUAUACUAAAGCACGGGUUUUGUUGGUAAAAGAAGGAGAUGUGGUUGAGAUAAUAAUAAUUGUUAGGGGAAAAGUAAUGAGUUUGAUGACAGUUUGGUCCUCGUGGGUUAUGAGUGGUAGAAACGUGAAGCAUCAUUGUUGACAGAGGGUGGUAUUUUGGAUGUGUCUACUUUUCUUCUCUGAGUGAAUUUGUGAAACAAUUCAUGGGUGUGGCCCCCUUCAACUUCCCCCUUUCUAAUUUUUUUUUGGACUUUGGUUGCAUCAAUCUAUGCUAUGUAAUUCUGGCCUCCAUCCACUCCCACACUUGUGUACUGUACAUAGUCAUUAUUUUUUUGUAAUUUCUCAUCUAAGUUCAUAUUUAUGUUUUUAUUAGCAUUUUUUUAUAUGUUAUAAAUUAAAAUGUGAUUGUGUUUAGUGUGUUAAAAAGGCAUUCAUGGAUAUGUUGGUAGGGUUUUUUUGAACUCAUUUUAGAGUUUAAAGACAAUGAUAAUCAUGAAACAAAGUUGCUUGAACAUUCAUUUGUGUUUAAAUCACUUUAUAUAUGGUCUAGUAUGAAACUAGAAAACUAUGGACUAUAUGUAGUGCAGAAUUAGUAUUCCACCUAAGGUUUGAUUGUUUUGUGUAGUUGGAACACGUUUAAUAUCAUUAAAUUGAAACCAUUAGCCACAUGGUUACGUCCUCUGAUAAAGCAUAAAAAAGGUAGCUCAAAUCUAAGGAUUUUCAUUAUGCUUAGUGUCCUGUGUGAGACCAACUACGGUAAGAAUUGAAAAUGAAAACAUUAACUCCUUUCCACUGAUCCCCACAGCUUAUUCUGUCCAACCUCAAAAUCCUGCCUUUUGCUUUAUCAAUAGUCAAAUCCACUAAGAACCCAUUCUUCAAGCACAUGAUUGAAGUUAUGUAAUCCUAUAAUGUAGCAAAAGUUGAACCAAUUUAUAAGUGAAUGAAAGAAGUAUAAAGCCUCCAAACUUUGCUAUGUAAACAGAAAAAAACAAGCACCGGAAAUGAAAACACAUGAACUUGCUGUGUGUGUUGUGAAAAAAAUAUAGUGAGAGGAUGAGCAGAUCCCGAUUAGUGAUCGUUAAUAAGAAACUCAUAUUUGAGGAUGAGCAAUGUGAAGCAAAGAAGUGAUUGACUGGCGCUGCUUGUUACUUAGGAGUCCCCCACAAACAUUAUCUUCUUUCCUGUGUCUCUGUCCAACAACUUCUUACCAUCAAACCUGUGACCAAUAACAGCAUUUUGGGAGGGAAGAAAAAGAAUUUAUCUUAAAUGGGCUGCACCAACUUAAAAUUCAUAUAAAUAGACCAAUAAAUGUCAUUGUUUAAUAGUGAAUAAACCAAUAAUAAAAUGGGCUGCAUCAACCUGUCAUCAAUGUUUCACUGACACAGCUCCAUAAUAUAUAUGUAUGUAAUGGGUGAAACAGUACCAAAAAUUAGAAAGAAAAGGAGGAACGGAAAACAGGGAUAGGUUAGUAAAAAGGGUUCCCUGUUGGGUACAGGGGAUUGGGUAAUAUGGUAUUGUACGUCACUGAUCUAAGUCAUGGUAUCUUUGUGAGGUUGCAUAGAUUGUACUGUCUGUUUUGUUAGAAGAAAAUAUGUUUUAAGCAAGCCAAAUUGUCUUCUUACCCAUUUUUUGUUUGUCUUUACUAAGAAAGAUGAAAAGAGAUGAACCCCACCUUUUUUGUUUGACUAAAAUAUUCACAUAUGCAUACAUCGAAAAUUAAGAAGGUAUGAGAAGAAGCAAACAUAUGUAUCAUUAGUAACACAUAAAGAUAAGAUCAUUCAUAGAAUUUAAAAUAAACAUACCCUUAAAUUGAUAUUUUAUUUUUUAAAUAAUGGCAAACAGUCAGUUAAACUAAGCCUUAUAAAUAGUGAUGAUUGAGAAGAAAAAUGAAGAGAAGUAGAAGAGUUGACAUUUGGAGGAAGAAGGAAAGAGAGGGAGUUGAAAUGAUUGAUGAGUGUGGUGGGGUGUUCCCCAUCAUAAAAGGCUACCAUAAGAUGUUAGGUGUAUUGUCACCUUCUCUCUCUUUCUGUAGUGUUGCCUACUAAAGUGGGUGCUCAGUCUAGAUACAAACAUUGUAUAAGCUUUCUAUUUCCUCAGAGGUUUUCGAUAUUUCUUCCUUUUUUUAUGCCGGUUAAGCUUCUAAUUAUUUAUAUAUGUAAAAUAUUUUCUACAUGUGUUUACUACGGUCAGAUCAAAUUUUACAAAACUAUACUACUUUUUGUUCCAUAACUUUGAUAAAGUGUAAAAAAGAAAAACUAUAAUUUAGUUUAGGAAACUUAAUUUUUUAUAACAAUUUUAAAACGAAAAAAAUACUUAAUUUUUUUAAUUUAAAUUAUUUCUUUUCUAGUCUGGAGAUUGAAAAUAGAUGCAUGGUAAAUUUUAGAGCCUAAAAGUUAUUUCUAUACACCAUCAAUACUUUUAAAAAGAAUUACUGUAAAAGUUAACAAAUUUAUUAACCAACUAAAAUUUCUUUACACUGUUAAUCCACAAACUAUUGACAUAAGUGAUGAAGAAAGAAUGGAUUAAGGUAUGUAAUAGACUAAUUAAGAUUGAGAUGAUGAUAACAUGAAGGAUUAAGUGAAAGAGAAGUAAUGUGAAGGUCUUAGAUAGCAGGGUGUGUGUCUUAGGUUGGUUUGACCUUACGGCUUCAACAAGAAACAUUUGAAAAGGGGCUAUUAACAAACCUUUUUAUCAUCACUCAAUCACAUUUAUUUUGUUACUUUAAAUGUGUUGUAUACAACUCUAAAUAUAUAAAACAUGUUACACACAUUUAGAAGUCUAAAUUCAGUUGCACAUUUGACAUUUAUUUACAAUGUUUAAAUUAGGUUAAACUAAAGUUACAAAUGUAAAUAUAUUUCUCUUAAAGUUACAAAUCUAAAUAUAUUUCUCUUUAUCGAUAUAUGUCAAACAAGUUUUGAUGCUUACGUUGUGCUUUAAAAUUAACAUGUGAAUAUAGUUCAAAAUACCAGGAUAGAAAAUCAGGUUAUUUUUGUUUUAUUCUAAAAGUAGUUCACCAACAUGCAAAUCCUAAAGCAUGUGGUUGAUGUAGCAACAGAAAAUAAGCUUUUGAAAGACAGUUAGUUACCAACCUCCAAACUUCUUCUUUUUCACUCUUUAUAUAGUCCUCUGAGUUCAUAAACGGGUACACACUCAUCCCACUAAGUUAAUCAUGGACAAAGCAAGCACUAAAUAUGCUUUUAAUGUUUAAAUGCUUAGUUUCAUUUGUUGUUUUAUUCUUUUCCUCGAUAACAUGUCUGAACUGUUUCACUAUUGUUUUUUCCAUUUUCCAUAAUUUUCCAUGCAUUUAGACCACCAGUGAAUGUUCAUCUAUAUGUUUUAUGUUUUAACUAUAAAUUACAUGUUCUAUGGAUUAAUGCAUGUUCUAUUUCUUAAUGGAUGUUCUAUGGAUAUUGAUUAGUGAUUGCAUCUUUGAGAUGCACAUUAUGCAGGUCUGUUUGUGCUUUAAACUGUUAUGCAGGUCUGUUUACGUGGUUAGUUUCUUAAGAAAUACAAUAAUUUGUUAUUCUUUCGUGCAAUUUACCGAAGGCUUUUGCCCCUCGGUAAAUAUCCAUCUCAGGUAAUUACCGAAGGCUUUUGGCCCUCGGUAAAUACCGAAGGCUUUUGGCCCUCGGUAAAUACCGAAGGCUUUUGGCCCUCGGUAAUUACCGAAGGGCAAAAGCCCUCGGUAAAU